AUGGCUUUGAGCUCCAGCUGCCGGACAUGGCACUGCUUGCUUGCCCUCUUCCUCCUCUCCUCGGCGGCCUAUGGGCAGCUCUCGCCGUCAUUCUACGCAAAGAGCUGCCCAACGCUUGAGCUCAUCGUGCGCGCCACCAUGAUCAAGGCCCUCCUCGCCGAGCGCCGAAUGGGGGCGUCCCUCCUCAGGCUCCACUUCCAUGACUGCUUUGUUCAAGGCUGCGACGGGUCCAUUCUCUUGGAUGACGUGGGUAGCUUCGUGGGCGAGAAGACUGCCUUUCCGAACGUGAACUCGGUGCGGGGCUACGAGGUGAUCGACGAGAUCAAGAGGAACGUGGAGCUGGUCUGCCCUGGCGUCGUCUCCUGCGCCGACAUCACUGCCCUCGCAGCACGGGACGGCGUCUUUCUGCUAGGCGGGCCAAGCUGGGCGGUGCCGCUCGGCCACCGGGACUCGACGACGGCCAGCCUGACUCAGGCGAACAGCGACCUCCCAGGGCCCAGCUUAAACCUGGACCAGCUCAUCGCCGCGUUCGCAAAGAAGCAGCUGAGCCCGCGGGACCUCACGGCGCUGUCCGGCACCCACACCAUCGGCUUCUCGCAGUGCCUCAACUUCCGCGACCACAUCUACAAUGGCACCAACAUCGACCCGGCGUUCGCCGCGCUGCGCAAGGGCGCCUGCCCCGCCCUGGCCCCUAACGGCGACACCAACCUGGCGCCGUUAGACGUGCAGACGCCGCUCUUCUUCGACAACGCCUACUAUCGCAACUUGGUGGCCAAGCGCGGCCUGCUCAACUCCGACCAGGUGCUCUUCAACGGCGGCUCCCAGGACGCGCUAGUGCGGCAGUAUGCCGCCAACCCGACGCUCUUCGCCUCCGACUUGGUGACGGCCAUGAUCAAGAUGGCGAGCCUCACCCCGCCCAGCGGAACACCCACCCAGAUUAGGCGUAACUGCAGGGUCGUCAACAGCUGA
This 969-nucleotide ribosomal RNA is filed under the name Triticum aestivum (bread wheat). Its description in RNAcentral is "partial small subunit ribosomal RNA". The record is from RNAcentral. Lineage: Eukaryota; Viridiplantae; Streptophyta; Magnoliopsida; Poales; Poaceae.